GUAGGUGGCAAGCGUUGUCCGGAAUUAUUGGGCGUAAAGACGCGCGCAGGCGGUUCGUUUAAGUCUGAUGUGAAAGCCCACGGCGUCAACCGUGGAGGGUCAUUGGAAACUGGAGAACUUGAGUACAGAAGAGGAAAGCGGAAUUCCACGUGUAGCGGUGAAAUGCGUAGAGAUGUGGAGGAACACCAGUGGCGAAGGCGGCUUUCUGGUCUGUAACUGACGCUGAGGCGCGAAAGCGUGGGGAGCAAACAGGAUUAGAUACCCUGGUAGUCCACGCCGUAAACGAUGAGUGCUAAGUGUUAGGGGGUUUCCGCCCCUUAGUGCUGCAGCUAACGCAUUAAGCACUCCGCCUGGGGAGUACGGCCGCAAAGGCUG
RNAcentral lists this ribosomal RNA (375 nucleotides) under uncultured organism. RNAcentral's name for it is "partial 16S ribosomal RNA". It matches the Rfam family "Bacterial small subunit ribosomal RNA", at positions 527 to 896 of the family's 1533-position model. The record is from RNAcentral.